UAACCGGAAUUCCUCCCCAAGGGUCGCACAUGUUUCAGCUGAUCUGCGGUGUAUAGUGAAUGUUGGUGCUAAUUUCAAUGUCUUUAAAUUUGCGCCCAUGAGUGAGUUACGAUAACACAUUGUAACUGUCAUUGAUACACAGCUCAGAUAUGCUUGCUGCAGUGCUGAGAAUAGACAGACUUUAUCGAGAGGGUGGCAGACCAUCACCGAUUAAUCAAAAUAAAUCGCAGUGCAACCAGUGUAAUAUUAAACGGUUUUCUUUUUCUUUUUCUUGUGAUCAUCGGUCAUAGUGUGAUCGCAUUAUAAACCUGUAUGUAAUGGCUUUCUUAAGCAGACAUUAUUAGCUUUGUUUUGUGAUCCAACGUAACGAUGUCAGCGCGAACCUGUGAGUGAACGACAGGGUUAAUGUAAAACGCUUCCUGUUUGUUCUCGUUUUAUAUUUCUCCGAGAAUACUAGGUGUUGUGUUAAGAAACACGCAGUGGCUGCAGAUUUGCAAGGGAAGUAUUAGAAACUUGCUCAGGAGUAUUCAAAGGUGGGCUUCUCGUUCAGUCUGAUUUAAAAAAAAAAAAUGUUUGAAAGAGUCAUUCAAUUAAAUGUGUUUGUGUGUGUUGAAUUAUUUUUAUGUAGAAUUGUGCAGUUGUCUACAGAUGAAAGGGACGUACUUUAAUGCAAUCGCUACGUGUUAAAUAUUGGGGUACAGAUUUGUUUUCCCACACUUCUGUUGGCGUUUUGUUGCUAUUGUUAUGAUAUUGGAAUUCUGUAUUGGUAAAAUUCUGAUCCUGAUAUACACGAUCAAUACACACAUUAAAACAACACUGAGUAAACGUGUUGCUAACGUACGCCACGACUGACUUUGACAUGACAGCAGCAAAUGCAAGAAGUUCUGGACGACAGGACAUUGUAUUGGAUUUUGCUUUUAAAAAUGUGAAAACUAAGCAACAUACCCCAUAAGCCCCUGUAAACAACGAAUUGUUACAGAAUGCAUGAGAUUGUCAGCCUAUCCUUUAUGAGCAGCAGGCAUUUUCAAGUUCAUAGUUUGGAGGAUACAUGAGUUGCCUGAAUCCAGAUUAAUUGCCCAGUGUGCAAAAGAAAAGUAUCAGAUCAACCCCUGGAUGAGCAAAUAUAUAAUGAUGCACUGAUAGGAAGAGUGAAGGCUUAGCAGCCAAGCCUCGUUGUAUCCAGCAGCAGCUAAAGAAAUGUCACGCUGAGCUGGUUGGAGCAGCAUCAUUCAAGAGAAAGUUCCCUUUAAUGACACAAUUGAAAGCAAGGGAUAUUGUUGGACAUGAAUGUUCAUUCAAGAGCUCAUGGCUGCAUUGCUGAACUUUCACACCUACACAGAGUAGAGGGUCCAGAUCUACCCCAUUGACUCAGCCACGGAUACAAUAUCACCUUUAAACCAAAAGUUUUCUCAGUAUCUUCAUGAAAACGCAGCCUAUGUGCGCCCUCUGGAGGAAGGAAUGCUGUACUUGUUUGCCAGUAUUAUGAGGGACUCUGUUUCUACAUUGGAAACAACUGUGAAACUAAAAGAAUUUUCAAAUCAUUUCACAUCGUAUACCUUCUUCUUACAGAUGAUCAUUCCCUAUCAGUUUAAAAGGUAUUUCUGUUUAUGCAUCUCCCACACACUCUUCCAGCAACAUGUGAAAUGAAUCAGUAAUCCUCUAGCAUGUAAGCAGUAUAUAUGGCUAACUAUUUGCAUUGCAGUGCUGGAUGUCAAAUACAUGUUAGAAAAAAAUAUUGGUAUGAAAACCGAAGGAGAAAGAAAUAGGUUGAAGAGAUGUCACCUACUUAAAUAUUACAUUUCUUCUUGUGUAAUGUGUUUUGUAUGAUUAUCUGUUGCUGCUUCUGCUUGGAUAAUUAUUUGCCAUGCUUACCAACUAUUCAAAAAAUAAAAUGCUUCCGAAAAGGCUCUUGAAGACAGAUUUUGUAUAUCAGCGUUGUCCUGUGCACAGAAACCCAUAGAUGAAGCAUUGUACACUGACUCUUGUGCUAUACAGGUAAGCUCAGGAGACCUUUCAGAAACAUUGUUUUAGUGGAAUAGUUAGUAAGCAUGAGAUUUCACUGAUGAGGUUGUGCAGUUCUCCAUCUGUAUUGUCCUGAGUCCCUCAGCGUUCAUCUCUUUUCUUUGUUGCUGUUGGGACGAGGAGUGCAAGUUCUCUCUUUGCACAUCCUCCUUAAAAACCAAAACGCGGAACUGCACAGCGACGUGAGAAAGGUGACCUCUGUGUUUGAAAACCUGCAGAAUUGUGUCAGCCUCCUUGCUUUACCGAGUGAGUAGAUGGCACUGUUUUUGGAGGCUGGGUUACACUUCUUAGAAAUUUUUGUUUUUGAUUGUAUUACAAUCAUCUCAGUUAACAAAAUGAGUGGCGUCCGCCUCUCGUCAGAUCUGUAAAUACACAUGUAGCGUUUUUGGAUUUCUAUGUCUCCUGCCAGAUUCUGAUACUGUCACGACUUUGUGCUAGAGAAUGCCCUUUGAGAGUUUCAUCACAAUAGGAUAGGUGGUUCUCUAGAUAUGUGUACAAUUCUAAAGCAUGACAUAUGUCAAUGUGGCUGGCUCUUCUAUAGCCCAUAAUAUUGGCUGUUUCUUAUGUCCAGCUUCUUCCCCUGACUGUGAACAGAAACGUCAGAUGCCUUUUUUUCUGUCAUUGUG
This is a long non-coding RNA of Polyodon spathula (Mississippi paddlefish), 2648 nucleotides long. RefSeq lists it as uncharacterized. The transcript has 5 exons. NCBI's taxonomy places the organism in Eukaryota, Metazoa, Chordata, Actinopteri, Acipenseriformes, Polyodontidae. The record is from RefSeq and is a predicted model, not a curated record.